GCAGUCGAGCGGUAGCACAGAGAGCUUGCUCUCGGGUGACGAGCGGCGGACGGGUGAGUAAUGUCUGGGAAACUGCCUGAUGGAGGGGGAUAACUACUGGAAACGGUAGCUAAUACCGCAUAACGUCGCAAGACCAAAGUGGGGGACCUUCGGGCCUCAUGCCAUCAGAUGUGCCCAGAUGGGAUUAGCUAGUAGGUGGGGUAAUGGCUCACCUAGGCGACGAUCCCUAGCUGGUCUGAGAGGAUGACCAGCCACACUGGAACUGAGACACGGUCCAGACUCCUACGGGAGGCAGCAGUGGGGAAUAUUGCACAAUGGGCGCAAGCCUGAUGCAGCCAUGCCGCGUGUAUGAAGAAGGCCUUCGGGUUGUAAAGUACUUUCAGCGAGGAGGAAGGCGUUAAGGUUAAUAACCUUGGCGAUUGACGUUACUCGCAGAAGAAGCACCGGCUAACUCCGUGCCAGAGCC
This 466-nucleotide ribosomal RNA is filed under the name Klebsiella ornithinolytica. RNAcentral describes it as "bacterial SSU rRNA". It matches the Rfam family "Bacterial small subunit ribosomal RNA", at positions 57 to 516 of the family's 1533-position model. The record is from RNAcentral. Lineage: Bacteria; Pseudomonadati; Pseudomonadota; Gammaproteobacteria; Enterobacterales; Enterobacteriaceae.